Molecule: long non-coding RNA, 25118 nt
Filed under: Vitis vinifera (wine grape)
Lineage: Eukaryota; Viridiplantae; Streptophyta; Magnoliopsida; Vitales; Vitaceae
Description: long non-coding RNA (VVIN_LNC000993)
Source: RNAcentral
GCGAACCUUCCCUUGAUUCUCGGUCUCGUUUCGGCGUAGGCUUUUCGUGAUGCGUAUCGGAUCGUUUUCUCAAACUUUCUGUUCUUUCUCUUCUCUCUGUACCUCAAAACCCUAGCUUCUCGAUCUAUUCCUGAUGAAAUUUGAGCAGUUUGAUUAGCUGAUUCGGAUCCGGUGUUCAUCGAUCUACCGAAAGGGUUUGUUACAUCAACCAUGGCGUUACCAUCUGGCACGACUCCCACUUCUAAAGAGGAGGACGAUACCUGGAGAUGAGGCAGAGCGUUAUUAAUAUUUAAAUUUUAGAUUUUUAUGUACGAUUUCUCUUCUGUUUUUUUCAUCUUCAAUUUUCUCAACAGCCAAACGAUAUCCUUCAGAAAGCGUAAGAAAAGGGGAGCAAUAAAAUUUUGCAGAUUAAACAAAAAAGAAAAAAACCAUCUGCACCUUUUUUUCACUUCAUUCUCGGAAAACAUUUAGAAACGGAAUGAAAAAACACACUAAAAGUUCAAAGUACCAUGGUCAGCAUCUCAAAUUUUUUCUUGCAUUUUCGUCGAGUUUUCUAGUUAACCAAACGGUCGGUAAACAAAUUGAGAGCUUGAGAAACGAUACUUACACUUUGGCUGAGAGAUUGUCCGUUGUAGAAGGACUUGGAGCCUGAGAAAUCCAUGUCAAAGCAGUUGUCGUUCACCAAUGGAGCUUGAACACUCUUGUUCUGUACUGGAACAACUCCAUCAGUUCCCGAACUUUGCUGCUGCUGCUGCGAUUGAAGCUUUGGAUCCAUCGACGGAUAAUCCAGAUCCAGAUACGGAUCUAUGUCAGAGAACAUGUAAUGACUCGAAUUCAGAUCUGAACUCUCAGCGAGCUUAGGGUUUGGGUUCGGGAGCAACCAGGAAGCGGCCUCGGCCUCUUCGCGGCUAGCAUCGCCGUCGGGAUCGGAGUAAUAACGGUCGUCAACUAGAAGGUUGACGGCGUUGGACUUAGCAGCAGCGGCGGCAGAGUCGUAGAACGGCACCACCGGAACUCGCUCGUGGCGGCGAGCGAGAGGGUUGGCGGAGUGGAUAUCGCGGUCGCAUGUGACGCAGAGAGCGGCGGCGUCGGCCUUGCACGUGACAUGGGCAGGAGCCUGCUCGCAGACCUCGCACAUCCACACCCGCGCGUGGCGAGAGGCGAGCUUGUUGGCCGCAUGGACCUUGGAGUCACAGGCCACGCACAGAAAGGCGGAGUCGGCACGGCAGAAGAGAGUGGGCGGGGCCGAUUUACAGGAGUCGCAGAGCUUGGACGCCAUCCUCCAACUUUCCACUUCAACAACCAUGUCUCCACUACAGUGCUCUCAGUAUUUUCCGCAGUCUCACUGAAAUGAUAAUUGUGAUGAGGAAAUUUGGUAUCUAGGGUGGAAGGGUUAUCUAGUGGGGAAGAGGAUAUCUGAAGAGGGACGAGUAAGGGGGUGACACGUGGGGAAGUCUUAGCCAUAUAAAUGGAUUUGGGAGAGUUAGAAAAUGGGCAGGAGUGGAGCCCACGUGAGCCGUGGUUGACUGUUUGGCUUUUCGUAUAAGAGUUUGGGGAGGUGCGGGGCUCACCCGUCUUAGUUGUUCCAGAUAGAUCCGUAGCGGACUUAGCUGGCUAUCUACUCCUAGAGGAAUGCUCCCGUGUACUGUAUCACACUCAACCCUUUUCAGUCCAUAGAACCUAUCCAAGGAAAGCUAUACAUCAUUAGAAGCUUAUUACCUUAAAUUAUAAGUCAUCUCAGUUUAUAAAUGAGAAAAAUUGAAAUUAAAGGACUUGGGACAACUGUGGAUUGCUCUACUACAAUGACAUUUUGACGCUGCUUCAACUUGCUUAUCGUCUAUGCAACACACAUUGUAGCUGAGAGCCUAUGUUAUUAGAAACAUCCGGCGAGCGUCCGACUGCUGUUUGACUAUAUUGUUGGUUUCCUUUCAUAUGCGCUUCGCCUUUGAAGUCUUGAACAAAUAUUUCUUCAUUUCAUGGUGCAGGGAAAAGAUGAUAUUUAAUUAAAAAGCUAUUCAACGCUAUUUUUCAGUCAAGUCCUUUACCGACCAUCAAGUUCUCCUCUCUGGAAGGAGCUAUAUUUAUUAUUUAAUACAAAAUUUCAAAGAAAUCAAGCUCAAUAUUCUUCAAGGACUUGCUUCUCAAGAAAGCAAAAUGAAGGUUCCCCCGACUUUGCACAUGAUGCACAUAAAAGAAAAAUAAAAGUAGAAGAAAAAGGGAAUUGCAGUUCUGCUUGUUGCUCAAUUACAAUUUCUUCCCUUCACCACAUGUGACUGUGAGUAUCAUCAUUUUCUCGCCCCACUUCUUCACGAACAAAUGGCCUUUAUGAAUUCUAUUCAACUGAAAAUAAUUUCAAAGUGGUUGAAAAAAAAAAAAAUUUUAAGUGAUUUUUUUUUUAAUUUAUCACUAAACAUAGGGAAUAAAGAUAAAAUAUAGUUAAAAUUAAGUUUAAAAUUAUGUAUUUUAAAUUAUUAAAUCAUUAUAAAAUUUAAAAUAUAAGUGAAAUAAAUUUUUAAAAAAUAUAUAAACAUAAUUUAUUAGGUUUAAAUCUAUUUUUAAUUUUUUUUCCCUUUUUUUCCUUCUACUUUUCUUCCAUAUUUUCUUUUUCUCACAUUUUUUUUUCAAUUUAAAAAUAAAACAAAUAUAGAGUAAGACCAUGUUUGAUUUUAAAAAAAAAACUAAGAAAAUGAAAAAUAUUUUAUAUAUAAAAAGUUAUUUUCUUAUGAUUAAAUUUGAUAGAAAGCAUGCAAGAAAUAAUAAUAAUAAUAAUAAUAAUAAAAAUAUUAAAAGAUUUUUCCUCAUCCGCCUUCAAUAAAAGUUAGGAAAACAUAGGAAAAUGAAUACAUCAAUAUUUAGGGAAAUUUUUAUAUUUUUUUAUAUUAUUUUCUUGUUUCAUAUUUUUUUUUUUCAAUUUUCUUUCUUUUAAACUUUAGUAAGAAAUAUGUAAAUAUAAAAGUAUUUACCAACAAUAUCACCUUUCAAAAGAGAGAUUUUAUAAAACAACCACUAUAAUUACAUUAGUUUUUCCAUGAAUACCAUCACAUUCAUGAAAAAUUUUAAAUUUUGAAUUAAUUUUUAAACACUUUUAACUAAAAUCAGAAUUAAGAUGAGAAUAUCAACCUUCUUAUUAAAAUAGUUAUCAAUAAUUUUAAAAUUUUCUUUAAUUUUAAUUUUAAGAUAUCUUUAAUAGAUAAAAGUUUUGAACACAAAUAUCUAUGUGUUUGCUAGCACAACUUAAUCAUUUUGUGUUAUCUCAAAUACAAGCUCUUGUAUUUUCAUGAAUACGAGAGGUUGUAUUCGUGAUAACAUGAUCAAAGAAUCUUUUUUAUUAAUAAACACAUCGUCCAACAAGUCACAUGUGUCAUCCUCAAUAAACUAUAAAAGGUCAAGAGCCUUAAGAAGAACUCAACUUUUCGACCAAAAUAAUAUCAUUUCCAAGAGUUGUACAUUGCAAAAUAAUAGUCUUGAGUACAUAAUGUAUUUAUACAUAAAUUAAAAUAUUUUGAAGUAGAAGAGGUUGAAAAUGGGUAAUUUCUCGUUUGGGAGGAUGAGGUGAGAAAGCCCACUUAGGAAAACUCUAAAAUUAAAAAAAUUUCACAUUAAAUAAAAAAUUCUUUUUUUUGUCACAAAUUUUUUUCUUUUUUCUUUUUACUAAAAGCCACACUCACAUCACAUUAAUUUGGUUGUUGUCCAUAUUUGAUGCUAAUGUGGCAUAAUACUAUGAUUUGAAAGUCACACGUAAGUCCUUUGAAUGGUCGGUUUGGACACGUUGAGGUGGGGGGAGAUAAUUAACGUUCAUUGAUUGACAAAACAUACGCUACGAAAUCUACAGUAUCCUGAUAAUUAUAGCUAUGUAAGGCGUCUUUUUCCAAAGGCCUUUUAGAUCCGGUCUCUUCAUUUCAAUUAUUCGUUGUUAGUACUUAUCCUGUGAGUUUGUUCGUACAAGUACAAAAAAUAUGUUUCACCAUACAAAAUUUAUUAGAAAAGUUCCCUGCCAUGAAUUGAAAUGGGUUGUUAAAAAUGUUCCAUCAUUAAAUAAAUAUAUAAAUAAUGUAAUUAAUAUAAAAAAAAUUAAAUAUAAAUAAUGGUACAAAACAUGAUAUAUAUAUAUAUAUUGAAUUCAAAUCAGAAAAUUAAUAGUAGAACGUAUUAUUGACCUUCUUUUUGUAAUAUGCAUUUUCUUAUUUAAAAUUUUUAAUUAUUUAAAAAAAAAUUGAAAAAUAAAAUGGGUUGAUUGAAUGAGUCCCAUGUCUGAGUUCGUGUAAGUAAACUAGGAGUUUGUUCGAAGUAGUGGAGACUGGAGAGCUCAAAAUGAGACGGAGAAUGGGGCUUGGGAGUUGGUGAAUGGUUUUUAGUUUACGAAGCCCAAUGUGAGGCUUAGAGGAUAAACGAGAUUUUGGAGGAGGAAAAUUGCAGGUGAUGAGAGGUGGUCCAAAUUCCAAACUCCUUGUGAAGAGCUACUGCAGAAUGCCGUGUGGUCAAUGAAAGGGUUAGAACUUAGGUCAUGCAUGACGCAGUUUGCACCAACUUUUUGAGAAAAUAAUAAAGAAAUGUUUAAGGUGACAUUGAGGUAGCAUGCAAACUUUUAUGGUACACUAGUGUCCAGUCGUUGUCUUUUGCUCAUCCAUGGGCCCAUGUCCACAACACAUGCAUAAUUCAACACUCUUUCCUAUUCACACCAUAUAUUUGCAUGUUUUAUUUUCUAUGUUAAAUAUAUGUAUAUAUAUACUAAAUAAACAAGACAUUUAACCUAGUUAUACAAAACUUGUACAAGCUUUCCCAUUGUUAAUGUUUUUAUGUUUCUUUUUUUUUUCUUUUUCGGUUUUUAUACCACUACAAACAUUAUUUAUGCACGUACAUAAAUAUUAAAUGUGAUUUCUUUUAUAUUUUUAUAUACAAGACAUUUAUACUAAGAUAUCUGUAUUUACAUAUAUGCUUGUAUUGUAUUUAUUUAUUGUGAAUAUAUUUGCAAUGUUUUUAAGCAUUUUAAGGGUAUUAUUGGUAUUUCAUUUGAUAAAUUCUUAAAAUGUUUUUUUUUUAUAUAAAUUAUGUAUAAACUUUUAUCCUUUGAGCCAGUACAUUUGCUAGAAACGGAUACCCUUUAACAUGAUCAUCUACUCAAAAGUUGGAACCAUUAGUGUAAUUUUUUUUUCUUCAUGUCCUUUAACUAAUUUAUUUUUAAUGAAAUUUUAUGUAUUUAUUAUUAUAUCAAUUCAAAUUGAUUUUUUUUUAAUAAAAGUUGGAUACUUAUUUGCCUAAUCAUUAUUUAUUUAAUUUAUAUUUUUUAUUCAAAAAAUAAAUAAAUAAAACCUAAAAAAACUAAUUAAUUUCCCUUGUAUGCAUGUUGACAUUGGUUCAUUCCUUGUAACUUUUCCGUUAAUGCCCAUUCAUUCCCCUAUCCAUAUUGAUUUUAGUUCAUGCCUUUCAUUCCCCUUUUGAUAUCAGUUCAUUCCCCAUUCUAUAAUAACCAUUAUUUUUCAUUUUUUUUUAAUCUUUUCUGAUUAUCUUUCAGUGUCUCUUCCUUCUUCAUGCUAGAGAAAUUUUGUCUGUAUCUCUCAUUUGUAAGCUUGAAUUUCUUCUUUGUAAAUGUAAUUUUCUAACACUUUCUAAAACAUAAAGAUUAAUAGCCUAUAUUAUUAAUAUUUUUACACGUAUUAUCUAUUCAUUCUCAAAUAAAAAAGAAUUGAUAGUGAGUUACCAUAGUAAAUUUUGAAUUUAUUUGAAAUAGUAAUUAUUAUGGGUGACUAUAAAAAAAUCCAACAUUACUCAUGUAUUUAGGUGCAUGAUACAUGUCUUCAUAUUAGUGUAUAUAAAAAUCUAAUAGUAUGAUGAAAAAGUGUUCUUCAAAAUAAUUUUUUAAAAAUAAAAAUUGUUUUUUAGACUUGAGAACAUGUUUGAUAAUUUUUUUUAUAGAAAACAAUUUUUUAAAAACUUUUUCUAAAAAUGGGAUAUUUUCUAAGAAUUUGUUUGAAUUGUUUUUGUUUAUGUUUUGGAGGUUUUAAAAAUUAAUUGUACAAAUAUGAAAAAUAAUUGAAGAUAAAAAAUUAUAGUUAAAAAUUAUUUUUAUGCCAAUUUGGAAACAUGAAAAAUAGGUUAAGAAAAUCAAGUUUUCAAAUAAACUUUUGUUUUAGAAAAUAUCAAUAAACAAUUUUUGAAAAUUGUUUUCAAAAAUUGCUUUUUGAGAACUUUUUUGUAAAACGUUUCUAAACACCUCUAAGUGACUCGAUGAAGUUAUAAAUAAUGAGAGCAAGAUGCAAUGUGACUUCAAUACAUAUGUUAUGAUUUGAUUAAUUAUAUGUAAUUAUAUAUAUAUAUAUAUAUAUUGAUUUGCUACUUUAGUCUGACCUAAAUAUUAAUUAAGUUGUUUUAGGCUUUUGUGUUUAUUUUUUUGCUUUUAGUAUUUUUGAUUGUUAAUGCAUUUAAAAUGGGGGAUUGAGUUUAAAUCCAUGUUUUCAUUGCAUCUCAUGCAUCCUUUUUCUUAUCCCCACUCCCUAGACAAGACAAUUACAAUAACCAUCUUUACUCAUUUUAAAGGAAAAUUAUCGAAUAGGGUGGGUUAAAGGUGAUAAUGACGUUAAAGGGUCAUCUACUUUGAUAAUUCUUGUAUAGGAUUAGAUAAAAGAGAGAAAUUUCCUCAAAUACCAUUUAGCAAAAUAAUAUUAUAAAAUUUUAUAAAUAUUCUUCAACUAAAAGUGGGUGGCAUUUUUUCAAGGCAUUUAAAGAGUAUGAAAGUUUUUCAAGACAUUUAAAGCAUGUGGCCCUCAUAUUAGCUGUAAUCAAUAAACACUUAGGGCCCAUUUGGCGCUGUUUUCUAAAAUUUGUUUUCAAAGUAAAGAACAAAAAAUAAAUUUUAAUUUUUUUUUUAAAUAAUGGUGUUUGGCAAUAUAUUUUUAAAAACAAAAAACAAAAAACUUGUUUGGAUGAAAAAAUUUAUAUUGUUUUUAAACAUAAUGUCUUUACUUUUAUUUUAUAGAAAUUUUAUAAGCUUAAUUUAUAAUAAUAUGAAAUCAAAUUCAAGUUAAGUCUUAUUAAAAAAUAAAAAAUAAAUAUACAAUUAUGUAUGAUUUAAAGAUAUAUUUAUAUUUUAAUUAUGAAACAAUUUUUUUUAUUCUAGUGAAGCAAAAAUUACUGUAAGAUAAAAAUAAUUUUAAUAUUUAUUUUUAAUAUAAGCCAAAUAAGUACUUUAAUUAAGUUUUUUUAAUUUCUUGUUUGACCAUGAUUUCUUAUGCUUUUUUUUUUAUUUUUUAAUUGAAGUCUUAUUGAAAAUAAAAAUAAUUUUUUAAUUAAAAAAUAAAUAGUUUUUAGUAAAGCAUAAAUAAUAAUAUUAUAAUAAAAUCAUAAAUUAUAUUUUUAGUAGAAAAUAUAUUAUUUUAUUAUAUGUUAGGAAAAUAAGGAUAUUAACAUCUUUGCUUUUUUUUUUUUUGUUAAAAAAGAAUAAUACUAAUUGUCUAUAAUAUUUUAUUUAAAAUGAAUAAUGAAUAAAGUUUUACUUUUUUUAACAUAUAAAUGAGUCAAGUUUUUUUUUAUUACAUAUGCACAAAUUUAGUACUCAAUUUUAAACAUAAUAUUCUAGAAUUUUUUUAUUUAAUCUAUAAUUAAUUGGAUUGGUUUUUGAUUGCAAAUUAUUUGUAAAACUUAAAGAAUUUAUUAAAAUUUUUAAAGUAUUAAUUAUGUUUUACUUAAUUUAUAAUCUAUUUACUUAGUGAUUUUUUUUUAAAUAGUUGUGGAUAGGAUAAAUAGUAAAGUCAUGACUCAUGGUAUAUCGGUUUUCCUCUCUUAUUUUUUUUUUUCAAUGAUUAGAUUUAUUUUUCAGUUCCAAAUUAUUUUAAAAAAUUAUUAAACUCAUUAAUAAAUUCAAUAAAAAGUGUAACUUGAUUUGAAGUUCAUUUUUCUAGUGGAAAAAUUUAUAAAAGUUUAAUUAGAUGCAAAAAAUAAAUAAUAGUCAUUAUAGACCAAUUUUUAUCCAUAAAUUUAUGGUAUUAAUAAAUUUAUUAUUUGAGUUUUAAAUUAUUCUUAAAAAUUAUUAGACUUGUUAAUAAAUCCAACACAUUAACUUUGAUUUAAUUUGGAGUUCAUUUGGCUAGUAAAAAAAAUUGAAAAAAAAUAUUUUUAUAUAGAAGAGAAACAAUAGAGUUGUUUUAAGCCAAUUUUUGUUCAUAAAUUUUUGGUAUUAUUUAAGUUUUAAAUUAUUUUUAAAAAUUAAUAGACUUGUUAACAAAUCUAAAGCAUUAAGUUUUGUUUAAUUUGGAGUUAAUUUGCAUAAUAAAAAAAUAGAAAAAUAAUGAUUAUAUGUAGAAGAGAAAUAAUAAAGUAUGUGUGUUUUUUUAAUUAUUUUUAAAAACCGGUGAAAAUCUAAAAAUUGUUCUUUAUUUCACUUUGUUUUUAAAAACUAGAAACAUAGAAUAAUAACCAGAUAGCGUUAUGAGUUUUUAAAAACUGUUUUUUUUUUUUGUUUUUAAGAACGGAAAAUAGUUUUUAAAAACUCCGUCAAACAGACUCAUAAUUUUUCAUUUGGGUUGUUUAAAAGAACUAAAAAAUGAUGCAAAAUGCUUAAUCCUCUUUAGUUUUUAUUUUUUAUUUUUUAUUAUGAUAAAAUGAUUUUAAAAAUUAUAUUAUUUGUAUAUUUUUUUCUUUUUUCCUUUGCAUAGUUUUUUUCUUAAUUUUUAUUUAUUUAUUUAUUUUCAAUGCACAAGUUGUCGAUGUUAAUACAAGGGUAUGAUCAUAACAUACUCCCUAGCAUAAUUAUAUUAUGAAGCAUCUUUGAAGCCAAAUGAAGUACAAAUUUGAAUUCAUGAGACUUAUUAUUAUUAUCAUUUAUAAAAAUGAUUAAGCAGAUUCAAUGCACUGAGUGAAUGAUGUUAAUAUACGGUAUGAUAUGUUAAUACAUUACACUUAAAAUACAAAUACACAAACAUUAUGAUAUAUUACAACAUAACCUAAUUUAGAAAAUUUUGAAUUUUUCACGUGUUAUAAUGCCAAAUAAAUAUUUGUAUGUUAUUCAAUUGAUGAGUGUUUAUGAAAAAUAACUACUCAUUUUAUUAGGGUGAUAAAGUUUCACUUAUUUACAAGCUAUUGCUAAAGCUUGUUGUUACAUGCAUAAAAUGACAUAGUAACCUUAGGGUUCGGUUCUUAUUAAAGAGAGAUUGAAAAUUAUUUUAUUUUAUUUUAUUUUUUUGUGUGUGUUCUCUUAAAAAAUAUAAAGAAAAAAUAAUAAUAAUAAGCAAAAAAAAAAAAAAAAUUUACUUUAAUUUUUUAUUAUUUUUCCUUUGACCUAUUUUUAUUGAUUUAUAUAUAUAUAUAUAUAUAUAAUUUUUUUUCUUCUAUUUUUUCACUUUUCUAAUUCUUUUUCAACCCCACAUAAGCAAAAGAGUAACGGAAAAAAAAUGUGAAUUAAAGGGUAAAAUUGUAAUCUCAUGGCUCAUUUUUCUAAUUUUUUUUUUCAAUCCUACGAAAACAAAGGAGUAAUGGGAAAAUGUUGAACAAAAAGUAAAGUUGUCAUCUUAUAGAUCGAGUCUUUCACAAUAAUUUAAUUAGUGAUUCUUUAGGGUCAUUAUCACAUUCAACCCACCUUUGAUAAUUUUAACACAUACUGCCAUGAUAAGAUGAUGAAUUCUUUAUGCAUUUGAGUUAUGUAUAAUGGUGUUUGUAUCAUAAUCCUAACAAUUCGUAUAAAUCAUUUAAUAAAUAAACUGGGAUUGUCUAUUCAACUUGUCUAAUCCGUUUAACACGUUUAAUUAAUCGCUUAAUUGUGUCAAAAUGACUCCUUUAUAAUUUACCCAUUGAUGAUCUAUUUAACCCAUAUAAAAUUUUAAUUCUAUAUAUUUAAAGAUUAUAAAAAUUAAAAAUACUUUUUUAAUUAUAAAAAUCAUAUAAUUAAAAUUUUUGAAUAACUAACUAAAGUAAAACUUAUAUAUUUCAUUAUAAAGAUUAAAAUUAUUUUAUAAUUAAAAAAUUAAAUAAAAUAAUUAAAAAAAUAAAAAUAAAGUUAAACAAUUAAAUGAAUUAAUAUUUAAAAAAUUAAAAAUUAAAAGUUAAAGAAACUAAAAAGAUUUUUAAAAUAAUAUUCUUAUAAAUUUGGAAUUUUAAAUAGGUUAAACAUGUUAUAAUUAUGUUCAUAGGUUUGAUGAGUUAUAAUCCUAUUAAUUGGUUAUAUGUGUUAAUUCAUACACAAUAUAACCUAGCACAUUUGUUAAAUGAGUUAAACAAGUCAUUAUUGUUAGGAUAUUUUAUUUAGUUAGCAAUUUUGUUUCAUUUUUUACUCAUUAGAUGUGAUUUACUUCCUUGGGUUCUAUUUAUCUAAAGACAACUUCAAAUUUUAUCAUAUUUGGAUUCGUGUUGAUUCAAAGUUGCUAAAUUUGAGAUAAGUAUGCGUUUUUGGUAUGGUAAGGCUCUUGGAAUGACAAUUAUAUGAUUCAAGUUGAAAUAACAUGAAAAUGGAACUCGAAAAAUAGCGAAAUUAGAAAAAUGGUUGCCUUAGAUGUUCAAACACCCAAGGUAGGCAUUCAAAUGCCACUAAGGGUAUUCAAACGUCCUUCCACAAGCAUUUAGAUGGCCUCAUUCCUUUUGUUUCCUAAUUAAAUCGGUUUAAAUUUGAAAAAGAAAUUUUUUUGGGUAUUUUAUUGAAAACUCUUCUAAUUGGUUACUAGGGUUUUUAAAAUGUUAUAAAAUUGAGAAACUCUCCAUAAUGGUUAUUAGGGUUUUUGAAGAAUAAAAGGAUUUGUUUUAUUGAACAUUUGUGGAUUUGGAUAGAGAACCCUAAGAGUAUUAUGAUUUUUGUUCCUAAUUCUAUCUUGAUUGCACUAAUCGUUAUAUGAGCAUUGACACCUAUAUCACUUGUAUUGUGUAUAACUUGGGUGUAUUAUGAAUUAUACAAAAGAUUCAAUUAUAAGUUCCUUGUAAGAUGACAAAUAGUUCAACAUUGAUUCAUAAAUUUUGGCAACCAUUCGACUGCUUUUGUAUUCCUAAAACAGAUAUCCAUAAAUACUUUAUUAGUAUAAGUAAGAUAAGGAUUUUUCAAACUUUUGGAAAAAAAAAAAAUGUCACAUUGUGAUAAAACUAUGCUUUUAUCAAAUAACUUUUUUAGACUUAUUCUUUGCAUGAAUGGGUGUAUGAAAAAAGGAACAAAACAAAGACACUUUAGAAACAAAGUAAAACAUGCAUUUAAGGAAGAGAGAGACUAUUUUUAAAGUGGGGCAAUAGACAUUUUCGUAAACUAUAAUUUGCCCUUAAAAGGAAAUCCAAUAGAAAAAAAAAAAAAACCUUUACGACCUUCUAGAAAAAAGUACCUUUUGAUUUUAGUGAAGGUUAGAGAUUUUUAUCAUGAAACUUUGAUAAAGGUUUGAAAGGAUUCGAUAAGGAGCACAGUGGAGUCCUGCAUUAGGGGCGUGGAAAAGGAGUGUAGGUGUCGAUGAUAAGAUCCUAGGGAAUAGGUUCAUGUGAUAAGGUAAAAACUAUGGGCAAUUUUUUUCAUAGUUAGUGAACUAUUUAAUGAUUUUUUAUAUUUAGUAGGUUUCUAUAAGAUUUUUCCAUGCAAUAUCUUGUGUUCAUUUGUAUAGUCAAUUUUAUUUAUUUGUGCAUAGAUUGUUUGCUCUUACUAACAAAUUAAUUUAAAGGGAUAAAACUAGAAAUUGGGAAUAAAAAAUUAAAUUAGGAUUGAUUCAAUGACUACUUAUUCACGCUCAACCAGGAAUGAAAAAUGCCAUAUUUGUUCUCCCAUACAUGUAUAACUUGAUAAUUGUUAGGAUAGAAUUGUUAAAAACAUGACAUAAAAAAUUAAGAAUUUAUCAUUUAUUUAAUGAUAUUCCAGUUUCACAUUCAUGUAUCCUUAUUUCAUAUAUUGUACUUUAUGAGCAUUCUUGCUUAACAUCUCUUGCAUUGUACAUGACUUAGGUGCAUUAGGAGUUAUAUAGAAGAUUCAAGUCAGGGGUUCCUUGUAAAUAAAUGAUUUAUUCACAUCCAAUUCAUGGACUUGGGAAAUCUGUUUGAGAUUGAAUGCAUUACGGAAGGAUGACUGGUCUUGGCCAUUGGGAUAAGGUUCCUAUGGUUAGUGCACUAGUGUGUAUAGUUGCACAUUAAAAUGAGACUUACAGUGAGUCAUGACAUAAAGCUAUUAGGUAGUCAUGAUGACUUUACUAAGCUACUACACUAUAUUGUCUCUCAAUUUUGAGAGAAUAUUGCGCUUAUGCCAAAGUUAGCAAUGGGUUUAACCUACGAGUAAGAUCCAAAAGUGAUCACAUAUUCCCUAUGGAUUGGGUCACUGUUGAUAGAAAAGGUAGUAAUAAAUAUUCUCAAUAAAGGCAUUAUGAUAUCUCAUGGACUUUGAGACAACGUGUUCCUUUGGGUGAUCCUAAGAAUGUGUAAUCAUGAAACCUGUGACGCCGUAGUAAUUUCUUUAAUGAAAUUUGACAUAUACUCUUUAUAAGAUAGAGUGUAUCAUUUGAUCACAUAAUAUGAGGAAAACAUGAAGCCCCAAUUUGAAACAUCAUAGUUUGAAAAGAAAAAAGCCAUAAUUUUUGUUUUUAUAACUUCUAGUCUUGAAUUUGGACCCCAAAUUAAGUUGUCUGAGAUAAAAAAUUUGCAAUUGCAACAUAAGGUACAUCAAUACCAAAAUCUAAAGCUUGAAAUUAAGUUUCCAUGAGUUGAAAUUACAUUAGCAAGAGUUGUCUGAGUUGUUGAAUUAUAAAGAAUAGUUUGUGGAAUUGUAGUACACAACCAUGCAAAGAUUGAUUUGUGUGAACACAAAGUUCUCAAAAUUAGAGUUUUGUUUCAUUUUUGCAGAUGUGAUGGUUAGUAAUUUCUUAUGGGUUUUUUGUUUUGUUUUGUUUUGUUUUUUUUGUUUUGUUUUGUUUUUUUUGUUUUUUUUGUAUAGGUGAAAAAAUGGGAUAUCAUGACUAGGUUGUCUACCACAAGGAAAGAAACAUCAUAUAUGUAUUGUAAAUCGUUAUUACAUUUUUGACUUCUUUGAAGAUUUGUUUGCUACUAGUUUGGAUGAUUUGGGAGAAAGUAGUGUUACAUUUUAUUGUAACCUAUUACUUGUCAAGUUUGAAUCAAUGUCUUAACUUGAACACUAAUGAAGAAUUGCUAUAGAUGUUUUGAGUUUAUGAAUAGUAGAGGACAAUUUACUUCAUGGUGUAACUAGAAGAGUGACUCUAGUUGAGCUUGUGGUCUUAACACAAUCUUCGCAAGCUUGUGGAAAGUCACAUGAUAGAAGUUAAGCUUGAUCAAUGUAGAUUUGAAAAUGAGGUUGAGCCUUUAGCCCAUUGGGUAUGGGUUUAUUGGUAGUAAAGGCUUAAAUACCAUGUGUAGAACUGACCUCAAAAGUUGAAGAUGACAUAAAGUUGGAGAGUAGUGGGAGGAAAUGUAGUUAUAGAGCCACAAAAGAUGUUCAAUGUGAGGUUUAGGAUGAGAAUGUAGUAAUUGACAAUGAUGGUGAGGAUUAUUAGGAAUUUGUUGAUGAGUAUGAAGGUUUUGGCAUUAGUGAUGAUGAAAAUGACAUUGAGUGCUUUCUAGCAAGUUAUAUAGAGAAGCACAUCAAGCCAUCAAGAUUUUGAUAUACACAACAGAGAUUUAUGAUGAACUAUUAGAGUAUGAACCAAAUGAUGAUGAUGAUUGGGACAAAGGUAGUUCAAGAUUAAGAAAUGAAGAAUAAAAAAAGAUUGGUUAUGACAUAAAUAAGAGUUUUAGCAUGGAUACUACAAUGUGUUUGAAAGGGAGAAGACUAAUUUGAAAAAUUUUUUAUUUGAAAAUGUACAUUAAUUUAGAGUUGUCUUAAGGGAUUUUACGAUAUAGGAGAAUUUUGAAGUAAAAAGGAUAAAUAAUGAGAGAUUAAGAAUGACUUUGAAAUGUGUAAUUUAAGGUUGUACUUGGAGAAUUCACACUUCUCUUAUUAUUGAUGGGGUGAUAUACAUGCUCAAGACAUUGACAAACACACACACACACACACACACACACACACACACACACACACUUAUGUGAGAAUCUUAAAAACUUUGAAUGCAACAUUUACAUGGAUAAUGAAUAAAUUAAGGAAAAGGUUAAAGGAGGAUCUUGACAUGAAAUUGAUUGGAAUAAGGAAAGAAUUCAGUGGAAGUCAUGGUAUUAAGUCAAGUAAGAUGCAACUUUACAAGGUUAAAUGGAAAAUAAAGGAUUAGAAUGAAAGAUCACAUUUAGAGUCAUUUGCAAAACUUCAAGCAUAUGUUGAAGUUGUUAGGGUAAAAAAUCCUAGGUCUUUAGUGAAGAUCAAUGUUGAUAAAGAAACUCCAAUUAUGCUCAUACAUUUAAAAAAUUGUUUGUUUCAUUUGAGGCUAUGAAGAGAAGCUUCAUAAAUAGAUGUAUACUUUUCAUUGGAUUGGAUGGAUGUCAUUCAAAAGGGUCGUAUGGAGGUGUUCUACCAUUUGUAAUAGCUUUGGAUGUGAAUAAUGGUUUGUUCUCUAUUGCAAUAGAGGUUGUAAAGAGUGAGAACAAAGAGUGUUGGACAUUUUUUGUUCAGUGGUUGAAGACAAUUUUAGGUAUGAAUUCAUUAAAUAUGCAUUGGGUGUUAAUGAUUGAUGGACAUAAGAUAUGAUGUUUUUUCGACUUUAAAUAUAUUUUUUAUUUGCAUUGUUAAAAGAUGGUAUAAUGAUAGAUUUUUUUACAAAGUGUUGUGAUGCUAUAAAUGCAGUGAUACUAGAGAGUACUCAAAGGUUUUGUUAUAAACACAUUUAUAACAAUUUCAAGUUGAAAUUUUGGGGUCUCAUUUUGAGGAAUUAGUUUUAGGUAAUAGUUAAGCUUACACAAAUGUAAAAUUCAAUUUGGUGAUGGAAGAUAUGAAAAAAACAUGUAAAAAUGCUUAUGAUGGAUAGUGAAAGAUUUCAAUAGCAUAAUAGAGUUUCUAUGCUUUUGUUGAAAGGUUAAGAUUGAUCAUCUAACAAACAAUAUAACUCUUUCGAUCAUUGGAUUAAUGAGCUUAGGGGUAGCCUAUUGUGCAUUUGAUUGAUUUUAUUAGAAACAAAAUUAUAAAUAGUUUUAUAAGAGAUUCUAGUAAGCAUUAGUAUUGGAAGGAAUGGUCACACCCAAUGUCUUAAGAUUUAUUUAAAAAAUGAAGGUUUGAUAGUAGAAAUUACAUUGUUAUUUUUGUAAGGGUUUUGAAUAUAAACAAGUGAAUGACCAUAUAAUCAAACCAUUAUCAAUUUGGAAAAAUAGAAGUGAGGGUGUAAGGCUCGACAAAUUUUAAGAAUUCCCUAUUGGGAAUUUUAUAACAUGCAUUUUGGCCAAAAUGGGAACUUAGGAGAAUAUUUUCAUCCUUAUUUUCAUAAUAUGUAUGUGAAAGGGGAUGAUUGAAAGUUUCACCUAAUUCCAGAUAAGACAUGUUAGUCAACUAGCCCUAGCCAAUCCUCACCAUUAUAAUGAUAACUAGGUAGGUUCAAAAAAAGAAAAAAAUAAACAAAGAAGAAGGAAACUAAUGAGCUUGAUCUAAGAAGGAAGCAUUAGUCUUUAAUAUUAAGGUAUUUCUCAUGUAGAAACUUUGACUAUAAUAGGCCUUGUUAGAAAGUGAGAUAGCUAGAGGAAGAUUAAGUAGAGCAGCCAAUGAAAAUAAAGGUAAAGCUAGCUAUAACAAUGUAAGGGGAUUUUCAACUUGGUACUUCAACUAGAGCUACUUGAGGAGGAACUACUAGUUAUGACAAUAAAGUUGGAUAUAGAAUGAGAAGGAAAAUGAGAACAAAGGGGAACAACAAUGAAGUUAGAUAUAACAUGGAAACGAAAAUGUAUAAAAAAAUAAAAAGAGAGAGGAAAUAAGCUUGCUCAAAGUGACCUUAGAGUCAUAGCCUAGGUUGGCUAGGAACAAAGAGCAAGUAAUAAGCAGGGAGACUUUUAUGAUUAUUGACUAACAAUAGAGAUAAGGAUUUGGGUGGGGGCUAUCUAGGUAUUAUUUCAACAUUUUUUUUAUCAUGUUUUUAAAUAUUUUUUAGAUAAGUUUGGUUAGUUUAGAUGGUUGUUUAAAUAUUUGUUUGGAUGUUUCAUGUCUGUUUUCAACAAACAAGCUCUCUUGUUUUAGUGGAUGUUAGUUUGAUGUCCUAGUCAAUUAUGGAACCAAUUUCACUACCUCACUUUAUGAUUCAAUUUAAAUAUUCUAUUACCUCUUGUUUUUAGGAUUUUUUUAUUAAGAACUCAAUAGUUUUUAGGAUAACGGUUGAAGUAGUUUCAAUGUUUUUAGAAUAAUAAAGAAAAUUAUAAAUUAAAAAAAUUACAACAUACUAAAGAAAUAAAGUCAUUUCUCCAUUAAUAUCAAACUUGUGUUAUAAAAUAUACUGGCCAUUAAUAGUAGGGGUAGGUAAAAGGGAGGGAAAGGGAGGAGGGUGACGGGAAGGAGGGUGAUAAUUUAUAAAAUACAAAGAUCAUAUCAUCAUAUACUAAACAUGGGCCAUUAGUAAGAAAUGUGUCAUCAUUUUCAUCAUCCUCAUCAUCUUUCUUACUAUCAUCAUAAUUAGGAGUAGGGAUUAAGGUUGGAGCAACAGUAGGGGCAAGGGCAUAAGUAAGAGCAAGAGCAUUGAUAUAGGAUGAUCUAGCCACUUUGAAAGCCUUCACAAUAUCCUUUGUUGACUACUAUUGAUAUAGGAUGAUCCAACCAAGAUAUAUGCUUGAUCAAACACGAUUUUCCUUGUAGGAUGUCUACAAAAUUCUUUAUAGGAGAGUUUCAAAAUGGCACACUAACCUCCUUCUCAUAUAUAUAUAUAUAUAUAUAUAUAUAUAUGCAGUCGCACUACAUGACUUCCAAUGCAUUGCAUGAUUUUCAAAGCAUUGGAACUACUACAAUUAUGAUAAGAAUGAAUUGGUCAAUAUUCCUACGAUGAAUAGCUACCAUAUCCUUACAGUCAAUAACUAAAAUACAUUAAUAAUAAGAACAAUUAACAAUAUCAAGAAUCAAUAUCAAUAAAUCUAAGAGUCAAACUAAAAUUCAAAGAUUGCACUUUAAACUUAAAUAUCCAACCAAUGCAUCUACUCUGCAAAUUGAAACAUCACAACCUCUUUAACUAAUAUUCUCAUUCAUGUAUAACAAUGAUGAAGAACAUUACCAACAUCAUAUAGACAAAACACACACACAAAUAAUACUACAAAUUAUUUGAAAAUUUUCUAGAUCUCUCUAACCUCUUUUGUGCAAAAUGUUUCACAUCAAUGCAAGGGGAUUUUGGAUUUCCAACUGUAAAUGAAAUUCUCAUCUUCAACCAUUUCCCUUUAAUCAGGCUCCCAUCACUCAAAUAAAUUUAGAAAAGUAUAUUUGAAUUUCUUUGGGCUUGGUUGAUCUUUGUAACAACUUUCUUCUUACACUAAUACCUUCAAUUUUUGAAUCUAAUGCUAAGCGGGGACGUAGUAGAUGACGAACAUGAAUCUUCUUUAAUAAUAAAAAAAAUAAACAUAAAAAUUAGAGCAAUCAUUAAAAAACAAAGCCUAAUUUAAAAAAAUAGAGGAGAAACCUUAUAUCUAAUUUAAGCUCAUCUACUCUAAAAUUUUAAGUUUUGCACUAUGAAUGGUUUGAAUAACUACCUUCAUGAACCAUCAUCUUUAUCUUCCUUUUCAACUUUUUCUUCAUCUUUGAUUUAGGGUUUCACUUGAAAAUGAAAUAGAGGUAUAGAGCACUUAGAAUGUUUGAAAUUAAAAAUGAAAUAGAAGUGUAAUGCUUUUGAGAUUUAGUUGAUAUUUUAAAAGAAAAUAUGAGAUUAAGCCUUCGAUUUUAGUUGAUAAUGGAGAAGAUGAUGUUUUACUGAGGGUUGUGUUUUACUUUGAAAGAAAGCAAGAGUAUUUUUAGGCUUUCUACAAAAAUUUAAAUGAUAACGUCAUUAGAUAGAUAAUAGUCAACAAUUGUCACUAGUCAAAAAGGUGAUAAUGUCAUCCAAUGGUCAAUUAAGAAAGUGCUAGUGUAAUUUCAAAAACCUAAAUGAGUAAAGUUUAAUUGCCAAAUACCUUAAGAGACAUUUGCAUAUUUUUCCUUCUUUUUUUUUUUUUAUGAGUUGUUGAAUUUUUCUCCUUUCCACCUUUCAAGUUUUAGCCAUCUAUGGAUCAAGUAAGGAGCAUUUUGAAAUAAGUUAGGAUGGGUCUUUCAAAGAUUAGUUCGUCUCUGGUUUAUUUAUUUUGUGUAGUUUGAAAUGAUUAGUGAUCAUUUUAGCUUUUCUUUUUUGUAAAAUUUGGAUACAUUUUUCAUUAGUUAAUUAAUUUUUAUUUAAAUACUUAUUCAUUGUAUUGGAAGCUAAAGCUCAAUUUCAUAUUAAGUGUGAUUAAUUUGAAAUAAAUAACUUAAAGAGUUUUGCUAUAAUAUUGAGUCGAUAUGUAUUUAAAAGUGGAAUCAACCAUAAUAUGCCAAGUGUAUAAUUUGAUCUAAUUUCUUUGUACCUCACUUGCCUCUCAUUCAUUUGUAUUUUGGUAUUAUUUUUGUGUACUUUGGUCUCAUUUAUUUGUACCUGAUUCUAUUUGUUUAUACUCUUAUUCCAUAUAUUUAUACCCUCAUAUAACGACCUAAAUGUUAACCAUAUACCUUCAAUGAUUGAGAUUAUAAGUUCAAUAGGUAUAAAAUUGACAUCUCAACAUUUUCUUCAAUUUCAUUGCCACUUAUAAUUAGUGUGUUCAAAUAUCAUUUUUAAUAUCGGGUCUUCAAGCUUAAUGUGUGAAAUGACUCUUACCUUAGACAUGGACUCAAGAUGCUAUAAUAGUCUAUCUCAAACCAAUAAAAAAUUAUUGAGUUUUGAUAUUUCAUGAACCAUGCAUGAUAUUGAAGAGAGAAGUUCCUAUCACCUAUAAUGGAUGGCUCCUCCAUAGUGUUAUAAAUAAAUAAACAAAUUUUAAAGUUGUGUGGGCUAAAAAACUCGUAACAAACAAUAUCUAUAUAAAUAACAUGAGUCUUAGCACUUUUCUUCACCAACAGUUUGUUUUUAAAAUACAUGCAUAUCAUUUGAUUUGAUGAUUAUUAUAUCAAUGAAUUUCCUAAAACUCCAUAACAUUUUUAAAGAUAAUUUGAUAUAAUAAAAGUUAAAAAAUACAAAAAUAAUAUUUCUUCUAGUUAAGUGAUGGUAGUGAUGAGAUAUUAAUAAACUUACUAGCUGUUUUUUAAUAUUAUAAUCAAUCACUCUAGAAAAAAAAAAAAAAAAAAAGAUUUAUGUUACACCUUUCGAACCCUAUUUUUGCAUUUUUUUUAAUCCUUAAAAGGUUUUGUAGUUAUAAAGGAAGAAUUUUGGAAUUGAAGUGGGAGUAAAAAAAAAAUAUCGGCAACCCAAAAAUAAAUUUGAUGAUACAAAGAAGGAUUCUAUAUUUAUUUAUUAAUUUUGGAACAUAAUUUGAGGAUUAUUUUCAAAAUUCACUAGUAGAAAUGAAUUAACGUUAACAACUUAUGCCUAAAGCGAGUCAAACUUCAAUUGGCCCGACAUUGUCGAGAAACUUUUAUCCCAUAAUUUCCAAAUGGACUAAGCCCAACCAAAUAUUGGACUAGCUAAAAAAUGGUUUAAAUAGUUGAAUCAGAAAUGGUUUUUUUUUUUUUUUAAAUUGCAAUGUUUUAAAAACCCGACUUGAUUGGUCAAUCCAACUUGUCUAAGCAAUGACUAGUGACCUUUUCAAUCUAAUUUACUAAUUUGAACUAUUUUUACAAAGCAUUAGCCUUAAACCGCUUGAAUUGAUGGUUGGAUCAAUGAACUAUUUGAAUUGGAUAAUUCAAUGCUAUUUAUUUUUUGAAAUAUUUCUAGUCAAAAUAAUGUUUUGAUGUUGUUUAGAACUAAACAACACCAUCUCAUGCUAAUGUUAAUUUAGCACCCUCUUGCUUUACUCUUUCUCAAACUUAGUUUCUUGCUUGAGUUUUUUCUCUAGUUCUUAAUUGUUUCUUCGCUCAUGUGUGUUGAUGAUAACUCAACAGGUGACCAACGCCAACAUUAACAAUGACAUUUGGAGGAUGACUAAGUCAACUGACAACGCCCCGUCACCAUUUUGAAGCUCUUUCACUAUGAUGCUCGACCACUGGAUUCUAGAAAAGGACUAAUGAUGACCCAUCGCCAUUUUGAAGCUCAUCGAGAAUGCCCCAUCAUCAUUUCAAAACUUUGUAUCUUGAUCAAAAGAAGCUCUUGAUUCUUCCAAAAAUGAUAAAUUUGGUAAAGAUUGGUUAUUUGAUUUGUAUGAUUCAUACUGAUUUGUAAACAUUAGAGUCAAGCUUAGAUUUGGAUGAGAUAUUUAAAACCUAAGCACCAAUUUUAAAAACAUUAUAAUAGAUCUUAAAUUUGGAUGAGAUGUUUAAAACCUAAGCCUAGGCACUAUUUUUAAGAAAAUAAUUGACUUAGAUUUAGAAACGUACCCAAGACUAUUUGCCAUUUUAAUAAUGAAGAAUGUAAGAUAGGGAAAAUUGAUGUUAUUAUUAGUUAUUGGAUUCAAUUAAUACAACUCUUCCUUAUUUUUUCUUCAAGUAGCAUCUUAAUUUAGUUCAAGCCAACAUGACAUGCUUCAAACUUGGAUAUCAUGUUUACUACACCCCUACUCAUCUGGGAAUUUAACUUAGCUUCACCCUUAUUGAAACCUUUCCUUCUAAUCCUAAGCAAAUUAGCAUUACAAACUCACUAAUAAUGAUACUAUGUGUGUUGAUAAAUCUCUUUUUAGCUUUCAAGGGUUUAAGGAAUAUAUAUAUAUGAACAUGCCUAGUUUGGGAACUAAAAGUUAAUUUUCAACAACAACGUUUAGAUCAUAUGGAUAUUUUUAAGUUUGAAAUUUUGUUUCUAUGCUUGUGUUAAAGGAGAAAAAAGGUUAGAUGAUGUAGUGUUUAUUAAGCUUCAAUCAAGUGGAGGCUAUUUGGUUGAUGCUAGCUUGAAUUUGAACUUUGAUAAUUUAACAUCACAAUGAAGUGAUGAUGGGUUGAUAGUUGAUUCAUGAUAUUGCAUAAUUUCUUGACACAAAAAAAGGUUGGAAGCAAGCUUUGAUAUUUUUUAAAUGAUGAUAAAAAAAAUUUAAAUUAUUAUUUUUAAUUUAUAAUAAGUAUCAAUGUGAUUAUUGAUAACUUAUUUUUUGAAUGAUGAUUAAAAUUAUUAUUAUUAUUAUUAUACAAUUUUCUAAAAAAUAGAAUCAAACUCCACACCAUCAUCUACUCAAGAGUCAACUAGAAAUUCAUAAUCAUUUAAUUUUUUUUUUACAAUUUUCUAGAAAGAAAAAAAAAAUCAAACUUGGCACCAACAUUUGCUCAAUAGUCAACUAGAAAUUCACAAUCAUUUAAAGGUAAGACCAACCUUGCAUGAGACCAUAUUUCUGAAGAAAGAUAUGCAAAUAGAAGAAAAGCUUUCAUUUGUUUGUAUUGCAAAAGAAUUUAUGAAAGAUAGAGGAAUUUAUAAAAUGAAACAACACCAUGUUAGAGUGAAAGAUGAUAUUAGACCAUGUAAAUCGGUUCCUUUUGAUGUUAAAUUUUGCGUGAAAAAUUCUUUGUAGGAGUUUGUGAAAUUUAAAAAGCCUAUUCAAGAAGCUUAUGAAUAUGAACAUUUAUAUAACUCUAAUGUAUCAUAGUUUGAAGGGAUAUACUAGAAUAUGAAGAAGAUGUUCAAGAAAUGCAAAGUCCUAAAACCCUCAAAACCCUAACUUUUGCCUCGUUUUCCUCUCAUCCUGAAAACCCAAAUCCCGUGAUGCUAACCUCUUCAUUUCCCAUAAACCCUCCAUAAUCACAAAAUUCAUGUAACUGAAAUGGAGAAAAUUGUUAACUCACAACUUCACGGUGUAGAUUCAAGGACAUGGGGAGUUGUAGGUGCUCUGUCGUUAUCUCUCUAAGGCUCUAAUUCUUAGUCUCUCUCUUCGUCGCCAUCACUAGGUGAAUAUCUUUUUCCAUAGCUAUUCCGAUCAUGCUUGUAUCAUUCAUUUUGUGAUUUUGUUUUGUUGUUGUUAUUUUUUUUAUUUUUUUGGUUUUUUUUAUAUGUUGAUGAAAUUGGAUGUAGUUGGAUAAUGACAGAUGGAGUGUGUUAAUGAUGUGUCGCUAGUUGUUCGAUGGAUGAGGUAGGAAGGGAAAAAGGGGGAGAAAUUUGGCAUUUCUGAUUUUGGAUUUAAUAUUGAAAAAUUAGGGCUUAAUAAAUUAACAUAAUUUUUUUUUUUUUUUUUUUUUUUUUGUGGAUGGUUAUUCUUUUUUGCAUUCUUAUUGUUUAUUUUGGAUUAUGCUUAAUUGAAGCCAUGGAUUGUUAGAACUUUUGGUUAUUACUAAUUUUUUUAGUUAAUUUUCUGAUGCAAUGAUUCAUGCACUGUUAUUUAAGCUUGGUGAAUGGGUUUAUAUGGCCUUGGAUCUUCCAUCGUGCUCAUUCUCAUAUAUUUUUAAUAGGAAUCUGGGACCAUGCUAUUUGAUUUGCUUAUUUUCUUGAUUUUUAUGGAUGAUUCGCAAUAUGUAGUUACUAGAGGCAAUGAGAUGCCUAAAACUAUUUUUUGAAGGAUGCUAUAGUGGUUUUGCCAAAUUUAUGAUGUCAGUAGAUAUUUAGGAUGCUACUCUUUUAAGGCUUCAAGCAUACUUAAUAAAUUCAUGCUUCAAUUUGCUAAGUGAGAAGAAAAACAUUUGUUAAGAAAAAGUUUAAACUUUUGCAGUGUUUUUCAUCUGAUAAAUUGUUAAGAAAAUAAAUGAAAAGGUUAUGGUUGAAUUAGCUAUUGUAUGCAGUGACAAAUGUUUUUUUAAAAAAAAAAAAAAAAAAAACUUUUAAGUUUUCAAUUUAGAUUAUCCGUUAUUUAUAUGAAUCAAUAUUUGAUAUUGUCUUUUAUUUAUCCAUGAUAUUGUUUUCUUGUAGGAAAAUAAGCACAUAUUUUGUCUUUGAAUUUGCCUUUGCAAGUUUCUGAGUUCUCUAUUGUUUUACCUUUGUUUUCUUACUAACCAAGCAAAUAUUUCUAAUUUAUUUUUAAAUUCUGAUACACAUUCUCUUUAAUUGCAUGCAUCCAUAUUUGGUAUUUUCUUUUAUUUACCCAUUGAAUUAUCUAAUGCAAGUUUCAAAUUUGAUUUCCCUGUUCCUGGAUAUCUCAGCAACCAAAAGGUUUUAUUUUCUUUAAGUUCUCAUUCUCCCUACAUGCAUGACAUGGCAUGGAAUUCUUUUAUCAUUUUUCCUGACUUUUCCAAUUUUUUCUAUCAUGCAUUCUCAUAUUUUUUGUGUUCUUUAUUGCUUUAGUGAAAUCUCAUUUAGAUUGAAUGAUUAAUUGUUUAGGGUGUUUGAAGUUCUAAUUUCAUGAUAUAAUGAUAUCUUUAUAUUUUUUUCUUUAGAUAUAUAUAUAUAUAUAUAUAUAUAUAACAACAUUGGGAGGAACAUUACUUGAAUUAUCACAUUUUCAAAAUGGUAGGGAUUCAAAGAAAAUGAUAGAAGGUAUUUGAUUUUCUUCAUAUACUUUUAAGAUAACUGUUGUUGUUUUUUCAGUUUUAUGUUGAAUAUAUGUGAUAAACAAUGACUGUGAUUUACAGUAUACUAACUUGUAAUAACAAUUUUGUGGGGAACUAUUACUAAUACUGCAAAUUCCAUUCUGAAACUGGAGGAGGCAUAAGUAAUCAAUCCCAUACAACAUGAAGCAUUAUGGUGCCAAGGAAAUGGCCUCACUAAUCAAGCAAUGAUGUUCUUGUGACCUGGUUGAGCUUUCUAUGACUUCAUUUUUGGACACUUUUUUUUUUGUUGCUCAUUUGAUAGCCUUUGAUCUAAUUAAUAUAAAAUUUCAUUUUAAUUAUUGGUGAAUUCAUUAUUGAUCAUAUGUUGUUAGGCGUCAAAGAUGUAUGAGGACAUCCAUACUAAUGCAACUAAUCAACAACUUAUAGGUGUUGCUUCUUCUAAAGCAAAUGUGAGAACUUUAGGGUAUUGUUUCAUUUUGCAUGCAACCUAGGUUAACAUUCCCAUCUUUGAGGGUUUCCUUAAUUUCUAUUGCUUAUAUAUUUUUCAUUUCUUUGUGUUUCUGUUUUUUCCUUUUUGCAAAGUAGUACCAAGUUGUAGGUUGUUCCUUAUUUAUUAUGUUACUGCCUAUACGAGCGUAUACCCUUCCACUUGUUCAUAAUAGGUGAAAUAAUUUGCAUAAGAAUUUUUAUAGCAGUUUUACCCAUUCAUUCUACACUUAAUAUUGAUCUUGAUGAUCCUACGCUAUCAUGGUUAUGAGAUUUGCAUGUUUUGAUUUUGAUAUUAGAAUUGUUAGAUGAACAUGAUGUUAAGUAGAAGCAAACCCUAAAUUUACUUCUAGCUCCUUGGAACAUAGUAGGAAGUGAUAAGUUUUUGGGGCUGGUUCCUUGAGUUUCCAAGUUUAGGUUUUCUUGGGAAGAACUUAUUGUUAAUGUGUGAAUUCAUUCAAGCUAAUUAGUGUAAAAUUUUCUAGAGUUUUCAUGUGAAAGCACCUUAGUUUUUCCUAUUGCGUUUGUGUUUUUGCAGGUUUAUUAUUUUGUUGAUUAUCAUUUUUCAAUUAAUGGAAGCAAUAGGGUCACCCUUGAAGGUGGGCAUACAGGUGUUGUUAAGGGUGUGCUUCCUAUGUUCGGCAAGCUGAUUGACACCACCCAAAGCGAAGGCAUUUUUGGAUGCAUCCGUUUUAAUUUAAUUUUUUUUCCAUAAAAAUUUUCAUUUCUUUUUAGUGGAGCAUGAAAUUUUCUGUUAGUGGUGGUGUGAAUUUUCUGUACAAUUUUUGUAUCUCUUUUAAUUUAAGAUUAGAUUGAAACUUUCAUCAAGUAGUAACAGAAAAAAAAAAAACAAUAUUGAUAAAUUGUGUUUCAAUUUAUAUUAAGUUAUUCAAGAUUUACAUUCCAAUUAAUUGUUGCCAAGAAAAUAUAUAUAUAUAUAUAUAUAUAUAUAUAUACUUGUCACUAUAUUAAACAAGAAGUUGGUGUAGGUGAUGAUAGUAGCAAAAAUGGGUCUUCCCGAACAGUUAAAAUCCAGAUUAUAUGGUCCAAUUGGAUAUCAAGCAAAUGAGAAGAGCUCAAGGAGAUAAAAACUUAAUUACCUACAAUGAAAAUGCAUUCAUGGGUACCUAUAUUAUAUGAUGGGUUUUGUUUUUGUAGUUUGGUGAUUUUGAGUAAAUAGCAAUGGUCCAUAUAAUUUGUUUCAUUGACAUAAACCAAAACCUUGCUAACCUUGGUAAAGAAAACUCAAGUUAGCCAAAAUCUCAGUGUGCCAAGACUCCAUGUAGGUUAUUGCAAAAUUUCUUGUUUUAAC